RNAcentral lists this ribosomal RNA (401 nucleotides) under Hypophthalmichthys molitrix (silver carp). Its description in RNAcentral is "partial 12S ribosomal RNA". Lineage: Eukaryota; Metazoa; Chordata; Actinopteri; Cypriniformes; Xenocyprididae. The record is from RNAcentral.
CAAAGGCAUGGUCCUGACCUUAUUAUCAGCUCUUACCCGACUUACACAUGCAAGUCUCCGCAAUCCCGUGAAUAUGCCCUCAAUCCCCUGCCCGGGGACGAGGAGCGGGCAUCAGGCACAAAUUUUAGCCCAAGACGCCUGGCCAAGCCACACCCCCAAGGGAAUUCAGCAGUGAUAAACAUUAAGCCAUAAGUGAAAACUUGACUCAGUCAAGGUAAAGAGGGCCGGUAAAACUCGUGCCAGCCACCGCGGUUAAACGAGAGGCCCUAGUUGAUAAAACCACGGCGUAAAGGGUGGUUAAGGAAAGCAAAACAAAUUUAAAGCCAAAUGGCCCUUUGGCCGUCAUACGCUUCUAGGUGUCCGAAGCCCAAUUAUACGAAAGUAGCUUUAUAAAGCCCACC